UAGCCUGUUCUUUUGCAGCACAAAACAGAGAGUCCGUGUGUGUUCCCGCGGCCCUCGUCGGUGAUCGUCGGAGUGCCGCUGACAAUUGGUAUCAGAGUUCCGGUCACCUCCGCCGCUACGACGAACAGCUCUGGCAGGCGCUUGAGGCUCCAGCAGCCCUUGAUCCUCACCGUUUCAAGGUUGGGCGCCAACAUCUUGCCCCUGUAGAUGCCCUGCAGCUUGGGUAACUCAUGCAG
RNAcentral lists this long non-coding RNA (236 nucleotides) under Setaria viridis. Its description in RNAcentral is "long non-coding RNA (SVIR_LNC007606)". The record is from RNAcentral. Lineage: Eukaryota; Viridiplantae; Streptophyta; Magnoliopsida; Poales; Poaceae.